GUGUUAUUUUGUGGGAAGGAGAGACAGUUAGCAAGUCCUCUUGAUAAGGAUGGAUAACACACGUAAUUGAGUAGCACAAUCAAUUACUCUCUUUUU
Molecule: non-coding RNA, 96 nt
Filed under: Lepeophtheirus salmonis (salmon louse)
Lineage: Eukaryota; Metazoa; Arthropoda; Copepoda; Siphonostomatoida; Caligidae
Source: RNAcentral